RNAcentral lists this ribosomal RNA (468 nucleotides) under uncultured bacterium. RNAcentral describes it as "partial 16S ribosomal RNA". It matches the Rfam family "Bacterial small subunit ribosomal RNA", at positions 28 to 507 of the family's 1533-position model. The record is from RNAcentral.
GACGAACGCUGGCGGCGUGCUUAACACAUGCAAGUCGAACGGAAAGGCCCUGCUUUUGUGGGGUGCUCGAGUGGCGAACGGGUGAGUAACACGUGAGUAACCUGCCCUUGACUUUGGGAUAACUUCAGGAAACUGGGGCUAAUAUCGGAUAGGAGCUCCUGCUGCAUGGUGGGGGUUGGAAAGUUUCGGCGGUUGGGGAUGGACUCGCGGCUUAUCAGCUUGUUGGUGGGGUAGUGGCUUACCAAGGCUUUGACGGGUAGCCGGCCUGAGAGGGUGACCGGCCACAUUGGGACUGAGAGACGGCCCAGACUCCUACGGGAGGCAGCAGUGGGGAAUAUUGCACAAUGGGCGGAAGCCUGAUGCAGCAACGCCGCGUGCGGGAUGACGGCCUUCGGGUUGUAAACCGCUUUCGCCUGUGACGAAGCGUGAGUGACGGUAAUGGGUAAAGAAGCACCGGCUAACUACGUG